GCGUGGGAGAAGGCUCGGCUGUAAUCUUGGGAGAGACGUCCUGAAUAGCACCGGUAACUCUGCCACGCCCGUACAGGUGCAGCUUGCCGGAUUUAUUGGGUUUAGCGUAGGAGUAAGUUGUUUAAAGCCGCCCUACGGCGGAGGACUGUUCUGAGAGGGGGGCGCGGAAUUGGUGUACGGUAAAUGCAUAAUACCAAGAACACCGUGCUAGGACCAGUGCGGGGAGCAAACAGGAUUAGAUACCCUGGUAGUCCGCACUGUAACGAUGUACUCGUGUCUGCGAGAAACCGAUAAGACACCUGGGGUCGCCGGCAACGGAAAAAGGAUGACGGGCGCAAGCGGUGGAUGGGUUAAUUCAUCAGAACUCGCUGAAGCGCGGUGAUGC
RNAcentral lists this ribosomal RNA (385 nucleotides) under uncultured bacterium. RNAcentral's name for it is "partial 16S ribosomal RNA". The record is from RNAcentral.